UGCACCGUGGCGCAGUUGGUAGCACUGUUGCCUUGCAGCAGGAAAGUCCUGGGCUCGAUUCCCGACGGGGGUCUUUCGGCAU
Molecule: non-coding RNA, 82 nt
Organism: Characodon lateralis
Lineage: Eukaryota; Metazoa; Chordata; Actinopteri; Cyprinodontiformes; Goodeidae
Source: the annotation of a GenBank genome assembly